Mya arenaria is the source of this 1059-nucleotide long non-coding RNA. RefSeq lists it as uncharacterized. Lineage: Eukaryota; Metazoa; Mollusca; Bivalvia; Myida; Myidae. The transcript has 3 exons. The record is from RefSeq and is a predicted model, not a curated record.
CUUUUUUUUGUUUUAAAACAGUGAAAUAAAUUUUACUGAAUACUACUGAGACUCUGAUCAUUAUUUUAAUUCAACAUGUUUAAAUUAAAAUAUGUGUGUUUCAUAUUUGCUACUUUUGGACUGAUAGCAGCCCGACACAUGGAGGCCGGUCAAAAUGCUACAAAUCCGCAUGUACAUUUACAACGACCAACGGAACAAGACGGAAUCCCACCUACUUUCCUGGAGCAAGGAAAAAUACCCAUAACGAUCGGAUGUGGCGUUCUGAUUGCUGUUAUUAUUGGCCUGUUCGUUAGAUACAUCUAUGGAAAAGUGAGGACCUUCAAUCAUCCACGUGUUGCGAAACCGGUGGUUGUGUAAGUUUCUGCAAUGGAUGCCCUCUUUGAAAACUGGCCGCUUCAUAGACAACAAAAAACCAAAAGGAAAGAAUUAAGGGGCAGUUCCAGUUUUUGGGGUCAAUUUUUCCAGCCACAUCUGUUCCAAAUAGAAUUAUUUUGUAUAAUGGUACCAAGUGCUCUUUUGUGUACACCAAAUUACCCAAUGACUAACAAUUCAAUGUUAACAUACGAAUUGUCGCUUUGUACAUGUUUGUUUAGGUAAUUCCAUCCACAGCCGUUGUAAUAAUCACAAAUAUUUACUUUAAUCGUUUUUCUGUAGUUUUUGAGCAUAGGAACUAUAAUUUACGACAAGAAGAUAUCUCAAUUUGUAGCGGUUCGAAUUAUCCUUUUUUUACCAUGAUUGUUUGACAGCAACUUUAAAUUCACCCCCAGGAACUGUUUUAACUUAACUCUUUAUAAUGUUUCAUUGCAUUUCAAUAAGGACAAUGCUCCUGAAUGGUCCUUUUGUCAUUAUGUUUGAACUAUGUUUGAAGCACUAGUUCCACUUUCUGAUUUGUUACAUUUACUUCUUCACUGUUGAUGAUACUCUACUAGAGUUGUUUAUGUGGAUAUAUAUAAUAAAAACACAUGUUUUACGUACAUGCCAAGCAUGGAUUUGAAAAUAUGAUACAAGUGUGUAUACAGUUGUAAUGCAUAUUGCAUAAAACACUUUUCUUAGAUUGUA